ACAGCACACAGCCAAGGCAUCAGAAGCACUGCAUAAAGCCAUUUUGGUUCUAGCAGGAUUUCACUGCAUCUCCAGUUACUGUCAUUUUAUUUUGCAAUCAUCCUUUUUUUCUUAUCUCACAGAGUGUUUUCAGUCUUUUAGGACUCCUGCAGGAAUGGACCUGGAUUGAAAACUUGCCCAUGUCAAUUCACAAAAAUCACUUCUUGCUUCUGGAUCAGCUGCUUGGGCCUGUUGUGCUGGACUGAACCAGCCCAUGGGAAGUGGAUAAAUGCUGCUUUGUCUGGAACAAAAGUGGGCUGACUUCAUCUACGUGCAUUUAUUCUACAUUGCAUUAGCGUGUGAGAUUCUGGACCAAGCCUGAGCACGGUUCCAGUGACAAGCUGCCCAGAGCUGCAGGGUGUUCAGCACGUCCACACUGAAUUGCUCCCAUCUCUUCAUUUGUCACAGACCACACGUAAUCAGAAGAUUUCUGCAUGUGACACCACACCAAACUGCAGUUCUGCUGCCCUGGAUGGUCUCUCAGAGCAGCCUUCACCAGGCUGUCAUUGCAUCUUUGCCACCAGAACAUCAUCCACGAUGAUUCAACUUCUUAAGAAUCCUGUUUGUGCCUCUUUCUGCUGCACAGGAAGGAGAAGUUGGGACAUCUUCCCACCAACUUCCAACAUCCUUGUCAGAGCAGAAGUUCACGGUGGAACAAACCUUACUCUGCCUUCUGUGACUAUUCCCAUCAUACUGGAGACUGUCAACGUUCACCUUCUGCUUGACAGCAGGGAAAAAAAGGUUGGGGUAUUUAGGGCAUGCACUUCUAUGCCUGUAAAAUUUGCUCUCAACAGUCUACAGUCGGGAUUACAAAUGCCAAAUAAUAAUAAUAUCUCUACUACUUUUAGAUAUUGAUCCCUUAAUCUACCCUGUGAAAAAAAAAUAACAAUUACUGUAAAGAAUAUUGGAGAUUACAGCUAAACCUCAGGAGCCUUCUAGAUACAGCAGCCGAUUGGGAGACUGGCUUAUCUUCUGACUCAUAACCCAAACAAGCUCCUGAAUGUGCACUGUACAUGGGAAUAGAUGAGAAUGCUCUGGAGGAACAGAGCCAGGAAGAACAGUACUGAAGGUAGAUAAGGUCAGACCAAUUCUGGUAAUACAGGCUAAUUAGUAAAUCAGCAAUGGAGUGUUUCAAUAAUGUAGGCUGCACUGCAUCAAAAAAAGGAGAGACAGAAUGUACCAAGUGUCUUAGGGGAUGGAAAAACCCCAGAGGGAUGAAGUCAGCACUACUGAAGAAUUACCUAUACUUAACUGUUGAAGGGCUGGGAAUGUGACCCGUCUCAGACAGUUUUAUUCACUCAGCACUUUUUCACUGUGGAGACAAAAAAGAUUCAGAGUGGAGUCUACCUGGAAAAAGAGGGGCUGAAUGAUGUUUUGCGUUAAAAGGACAUAGCUGAUCUUGGACACAAGAUUAGCCAGGAAGCUAACAUCACAGCUAAAGCUCUGGGCUCACUUAGAAGAGAUUUUUCAAGUCUAAAGAAAGAAAGAGGACAUUUAAGCAUUUGUAAAUGCAAGCUGACAUGUUCUAUUGCAAUGAAGAGGAUAAAUAUUAAUGUCAUUGUCUGAAGAAAGAUAAAUUAUACAAGUUACAUCAUGAAUCCAUAUGAGAUCUGAAACCAAACAUUUUUAAGAGUAAAAAUAUACUACUAAAAGAGGAAUUCCAACAAAAAUUAAGUGAAACAGUAAUUAACAAGUCAUUUGUCUUUGCCUUGCAAGUCUGCUUGACUUUGCAGAGGAUAGCAAAAUUUCCUUUGCUUUAGAUUGCAGUGGCAUUUUUGCAAAGCCCUCACAGGUGAAUGAUCCCUGUCACACGGCUGCUCAGACCCAUGUCUGUAAAGUAAGACAGGCGUCCAUUAAGAGGUGACUCUUGCAUAUGUAUGGAGUCACUGGGAGAGGCUGAUUUCACUAUGAUACCACCUGCUUUGAGUUCUUGCAGCAUCACAGACAUGCAGUGGUGCUCAUCCUUCAUAUCACUGCCACUGGGGUGAGAGCUGCAGGUCCUGUUUCUAGAGCAAGAACCCAGUGGCUGAUCACGGCUCUGUGCUAAGGAGUAGUAAAAUGUCUGUCUCUUCUCCUAGAAAUUCAUAUUUCUUUCUCAUCAGAAAGACAGGCUAGAAAGUCCUGGAGACAAGGAAGUCCAUGCUGAGUAAAGAGCUAAUGAAAUGGUGAGAUUACAAACAGUAGAAGGAGCUCAGAAGGAACAGGUAUGAGUGACAGGAUUUUAGAAUGAUCUGUUCAAAGCUCUUUGUUUUGGGGGGUUUUGGUUUUGUUCUUCUUGGUUUUCUUUAUUUUAUUUUGUUUUGUUUUGUUUUGUUUUGCUUUUAUUUAUUUGCUUUUAGUAGUACCUAUGUAACAUCAACUAUCAAUAAACAGGUGAAAUAAGGAAACUUCUUCAUAAAGAUCCUCAGCCUUCAUUCAUUCUCAAACCACUAAACAUUCUUGAGACUUCCGCUUCUGCUCCAGCUAACCCAGAAAGUCAGAACACAGUUCCCAGUGUUUUUAGUACAGUAAAUCUGCAGACCCUUUUUAAGCUACCCCCUAC
This is a long non-coding RNA of Gallus gallus (chicken), 2581 nucleotides long. RefSeq lists it as uncharacterized. Lineage: Eukaryota; Metazoa; Chordata; Aves; Galliformes; Phasianidae. The record is from RefSeq and is a predicted model, not a curated record. The transcript is spliced from 3 exons.